This 22-nucleotide non-coding RNA is filed under the name Arabidopsis thaliana (thale cress). Lineage: Eukaryota; Viridiplantae; Streptophyta; Magnoliopsida; Brassicales; Brassicaceae. The record is from RNAcentral.
GUUGAAUGCGGUGUCUUUUCCG